Molecule: ribosomal RNA, 253 nt
Filed under: uncultured bacterium
Lineage: Bacteria
Description: partial 16S ribosomal RNA
Rfam family: Bacterial small subunit ribosomal RNA
Source: RNAcentral
UACGGAGGGUGCAAGCGUUGUCCGGAAUCACUGGGCGUAAAGGGCGCGUAGGCGGCUCAUGAAGGCUGUGGUGAAAGUCCGGGGCUCAACCUCGGAUCGGCCGUGGCGACUCGUGGGCUGGAGCACUGUAGAGGCGGGUGGAAUUCCGGGUGUAGCGGUGGAAUGCGUAGAGAUCCGGAAGAACACCAGUGGCGAAGGCGGCCCGCUGGGCAGUGGCUGACGCUGAGGUGCGAAAGCGCGGGGAGCAAACAGG